RNAcentral lists this ribosomal RNA (253 nucleotides) under uncultured bacterium. RNAcentral describes it as "partial 16S ribosomal RNA". It matches the Rfam family "Bacterial small subunit ribosomal RNA", at positions 524 to 776 of the family's 1533-position model. The record is from RNAcentral.
UACAGAGACUGCAAGCGUUGUCCGGAUUUAUUGGGCGUAAAGAGCGUGUAGGCGGCUUGGUAGGUCCGCUGUGAAAACUCGAGGCUCAACCUCGAGAUGUCGGCGGAAACCACUUGGCUAGAGUCCGGAAGAGGAGAGUGGAAUUCCUGGUGUAGCGGUGAAAUGCGCAGAUAUCAGGAAGAACACCUAUGGCGAAGGCAGCUCUCUGGGACGGUACUGACGCUGAGACGCGAAAGCGUGGGGAGCGAACAGG